GUCCACGCCGUAAACGAUGGGCACUAGGUGCUCUGGGGAGCGACCCCCGGGGUACCGGCGCUAACGCAUGAAGUGCCCCGCCUGGGGAGUACGGCCGCAAGGCUGAAACUCAAAGGAAUUGACGGGGGCCCGCACAAGCGGUGGAGCAUGUGGUUUAAUUCGACGCAACGCGCAGAACCUUACCUAGGCUUGACAUGCACGGGAAAGCUGCUGGAAACAGCGGCCCCUCUUCGGAGCCCGUGCACAGGUGCUGCAUGGCUGUCGU
Molecule: ribosomal RNA, 265 nt
Filed under: uncultured bacterium
Lineage: Bacteria
Description: partial 16S ribosomal RNA
Rfam family: Bacterial small subunit ribosomal RNA
Source: RNAcentral